UAAUGUCUGGGAAACUGCCUGAUGGAGGGGGAUAACGUACUGGAAACGGUAGCUAAUACCGCAUAAUGUCGCAAGACCAAAGUGGGGGACCUUCGGGCCUCAUGCCAUCAGAUGUGCCCAGAUGGGAUUAGCUAGUAGGUGGGGUAACGGCUCACCUAGGCGACGAUCCCUAGCUGGUCUGAGAGGAUGACCAGCCACACUGGAACUGAGACACGGUCCAG
RNAcentral lists this ribosomal RNA (221 nucleotides) under uncultured bacterium. RNAcentral's name for it is "partial 16S ribosomal RNA". It matches the Rfam family "Bacterial small subunit ribosomal RNA", at positions 111 to 334 of the family's 1533-position model. The record is from RNAcentral.